This is a long non-coding RNA of Chinchilla lanigera (long-tailed chinchilla), 1723 nucleotides long. RefSeq lists it as uncharacterized. Lineage: Eukaryota; Metazoa; Chordata; Mammalia; Rodentia; Chinchillidae. The record is from RefSeq and is a predicted model, not a curated record. The transcript is spliced from 3 exons.
UUCAAGUGACUGCAGUCUUUCUUUAUGGCAGAGGAGUUCUCCACUGUGUAGAAAUAUAGUACCUCAUUUUCUUUAUCUGUUCAUCUGAUGGCACGAGAGUCUCCCCACCAGAGACGGAGAACUUCCAGUCUGCAAAGGACUGCGGUUCCUGAGCUAUCGUACUGUGCAGUACUUUGGAUGACUAGCAAAUCCUUGUGAUCAGGCCGCCCAGCUCUGCAGAUCAGUCCCUGCAGAGUCACUCUCAUGUCAUCCGGCCGUGCCUAGCCACCAGGUGGCCUAGCCUGUGCAGGGGAGGUCGCCUCGGCCCGCACCUGCAGAGUCGCAGGCGGCUCACUGCCAAGAAGCCGCACUGACUGUCUACAUGUGUUUUCAUUAAGAGACAAAGGAAAUGCUGGAAAGAGACCAGAGGAAAAUAUGAAAAGUCUCCCAUUGCCAAGGAAAGUGAGAGCACCUGGCAGACACAGUGGGUAGAGACUCUCCUUGUAAUCUCAAGGGCCCUAUGUUUCCCGGGGUGUGCAGUGUUCCCAGGACACACGGGUGCUUCCGGAAGAACUGGGAACCCCAGGAAAGGACCUAACACAUUUUGUGUGUAUUGCACCCAUGAAAAUUCAACCAAGGGAUGAACAUUACUCAACAGGUUCUCAUAAAAAGUUGAACCUCAAACCAACUCUGGAGUCAUAUUGAUGAGUCUUUAUACAGGAAGGACCUGCAGAGAAAGGUGUACAUCCCAGCAGAUGGAACCCAGGAAAGGGCAGGAUAUCCUGGAAUGCUGCUGAGCUGAUGCUGAAGAAGGUGGCACUGAUGAUCCUAGAAAUGACGGGCGCCAGCCUCGUGACCACGGUUGUGACAGCGGCUACAGCCAUUCACAGUGAGACACACACCUGUGUGUCACCUGCUUACAUGAGCCCAGUGAGGCCAGUCCUGUGCCAAGAACCUGCCCAAGCUGACCUCCACACCUGCUUCAGAUGCAGCAGCAGCAAAUGCAGCUUUAUGAAAACCCUCCUUACCAAGAAGUUACAGCUCAUCCUAAUGAAAAAGUACCCAGAUGGCCGGCUCUCCACAUCUCAUGUCAUCCCGUGCAGAGAAUCCGCCUUUGUUUUCUGAAGAAUCCCUUCCUGACCACAUGUUCUGCUCUUGCUGCAGCUCUGCAUCUGGGAGUGAGAUUUUAACAACAAUCCACUCCUGGGCAUUCUAACGUGGCUACUGGUUCCUAGCUCGGCAGGGCCGAAGAUGUGAUACAAGUAUGUUAAUAUCGUCCGUGCCCAUCUGGGAAAGCACCGAGCAUGUGCAGAGCCCCGAGCCAGCUCUCCCCUCUGUUCUGUUUGCUCUGAUGUAUUCAGGAAGAGUGAGACUCAGGGCGGCUCACAGCUGGAAGCUGAGGCCUUGCAUCCAACCGCAGUGCUUCACCCAGCCCGCACGGCUUCUCAGCUCCAGGACCCGGAAUGAGGGCACCCCUCUGCCUCGGUUUCUGCAGCUGAAAUGUGCACAGUAAGAGUGCCUGCUUCAUGGUGAAACUGUGAGGAUUGGAGGAGUUGAUACACAAAGAACUUAAGUGAGGGCUGCCCAGUGCCCAGGGAAAGUAAUGGAGGCGCAACCUGUUGUUGGUAUUAUCAAUCUUAGAUUGUUUACGCCAUUUUGUGGCAUCUUUCUGAUAUUCAAGAUAAUUUCACUAUUUAAAUUUAAUAGAAAUAAAACAUCCACAUAACACAUACUUUAGGUUAGA